UGGGGAAUUUUGGACAAUGGGGGCAACCCUGAUCCAGCCAUUCCGCGUGAGUGAAGAAGGCCUUCGGGUUGUAAAGCUCUUUCAGCUGGAACGAAACGGUACGCUCUAACAUAGCGUGCUAAUGACGGUACCGGCAGAAGAAGCACCGGCUAACUACGUGCCAGCAGCCGCGGUAAUACGUAGGGUGCGAGCGUUAAUCGGAAUUACUGGGCGUAAAGCGUGCGCAGGCGGAUUAUUAAGCAAGACGUGAAAGCCCCGGGCUUAACCUGGGAAUGGCGUUUUGAACUGGUAGUCUAGAGUGUGUCAGAGGGGGGUGGAAUUCCACGUGUAGCAGUGAAAUGCGUAGAUAUGUGGAGGAACACCAAUGGCGAAGGCAGCCCCCUGGGAUAACACUGACGCUCAUGUACGAAAGCGUGGGUAGCAAACA
This 427-nucleotide ribosomal RNA is filed under the name uncultured Thiobacillus sp. Its description in RNAcentral is "bacterial SSU rRNA". It matches the Rfam family "Bacterial small subunit ribosomal RNA", at positions 355 to 774 of the family's 1533-position model. Lineage: Bacteria; Pseudomonadati; Pseudomonadota; Betaproteobacteria; Nitrosomonadales; Thiobacillaceae. The record is from RNAcentral.